GACGAACGCUGGCGGCGUGCUUAACACAUGCAAGUCGAGCGGUAAGGCCCUUUCGGGGGUACACGAGCGGCGAACGGGUGAGUAACACGUGGGUGACCUGCCCUCAGCUCUGGGAUAAGCCUGGGAAACCGGGUCUAAUACCGGAUAUGACUCCAUGACGCAUGUUGUGGGGUGGAAAGCCUUGUGCGGCUGAGGAUGGGCCCGCGGCCUAUCAGCUUGUUGGUGGGGUGAUGGCCUACCAAGGCGACGACGGGUAGCCGGCCUGAGAGGGCGACCGGCCACACUGGGACUGAGACACGGCCCAGACUCCUACGGGAGGCAGCAGUGGGGAAUCUUGCGCAAUGGGCAAAGCCUGACGCAGCGACGCCGCGUGAGGGAUGACGG
RNAcentral lists this ribosomal RNA (384 nucleotides) under uncultured bacterium. Its description in RNAcentral is "bacterial SSU rRNA". It matches the Rfam family "Bacterial small subunit ribosomal RNA", at positions 28 to 414 of the family's 1533-position model. The record is from RNAcentral.